UACGGAGGGUGCAAGCGUUAUUCGGAAUUACUGGGCGUAAAGCGCGUGCAGGCGGGUAUGCAAGUCUGAUGUGAAAGCCCCGGGCUCAACCUGGGAAGUGCAUUGGAAACUGCAUAUCUUGAGUGCUGGAGAGGAAGGGGGAAUUCCCGGUGUAGAGGUGAAAUUCGUAGAGAUCGGGAGGAAUACCAGUGGCGAAGGCGCCCUUCUGGACGGCAACUGACGCUGAGACGCGAAAGCGUGGGGAGCAAACAGGAUUAGAAACCCUGGUAGU
This 271-nucleotide ribosomal RNA is filed under the name uncultured bacterium. RNAcentral describes it as "partial 16S ribosomal RNA". It matches the Rfam family "Bacterial small subunit ribosomal RNA", at positions 524 to 794 of the family's 1533-position model. The record is from RNAcentral.